CCCCCUUAGGUAAGAGGCGAGAGAGGCGGCAACAGCUCAAAUUUGAAAUCUGGCUCUUUCAGAGUCCGAGUUGUAAUUUGCAGAGGGCGCUUUGGCUUUGGCAGCGGUCCAAGUUCCUUGGAACAGGACGUCACAGAGGGUGAGAAUCCCGUACGUGGUCGCUAGCUAUUGCCGUGUAAAGCCCCUUCGACGAGUCGAGUUGUUUGGGAAUGCAGCUCUAAAUGGGAGGUAAAUUUCUUCUAAAGCUAAAUAUUGGCCAGAGACCGAUAGCGCACAAGUAGAGUGAUCGAAAGAUGAAAAGCACUUUGGAAAGAGAGUCAAACAGCACGUGAAAUUGUUGAAAGGGAAGCGCUUGCAGCCAGACUUGCUUGCAGUUGCUCAUCCGGGCUUUUGCCCGGUGCACUCUUCUGCAGGCAGGCCAGCAUCAGUUUGGGCGGUGGGAUAAAGGUCUCUGUCAUGUACCUCUCUUCGGGGAGGCCUUAUAGGGGAGGCGACAUACCACCAGCCUAGACUGAGGUCCGCGCAUCUGCUAGGAUGCUGGCGUAAUGGCUGUAAGCGGCCCGUCUUGAAACACGGACCAAGGAGUCUAACAUCUAUGCGAGUGUUUGGGUGUCAAGCCCGAGCGCGUAAUGAAAGUGAACGGAGGUGGGAACCCGCAAGGGUGCACCAUCGACCGAUCCUGAAGUUUACGGAAGGAUUUGAGUAAGAGCAUGGCUGUUGGGACCCGAAAGAUGGUGAACUAUGCUUGAAUAGGGUGAAGCCAGAGGAAACUCUGGUGGAGGCUCGCAGCGGGUUCUGACGUGCAAAUCGAUCGUCAAAUUUGGGCAUAGGGGCGAAAGACUAAUCGAACUAUCUAGUAAGCUGGUUCCUGCCGAAGUUUCCCUCAGGAUAGCAGUAACGUAUUCAGGUGUAUGAAGGGAGAGCGAAUGAUUAGGAGGGAUGGGGGUGUG
Molecule: ribosomal RNA, 950 nt
Filed under: Exserohilum rostratum
Lineage: Eukaryota; Fungi; Ascomycota; Dothideomycetes; Pleosporales; Pleosporaceae
Description: partial large subunit ribosomal RNA
Rfam family: Eukaryotic large subunit ribosomal RNA
Source: RNAcentral